UUUUAAAAUCGGCGAUAAAGCAUGGGGUGUUUUAGGGCGUGGCUAUGAUGUGAUUGACAGUUCGCGGCCUGUCACUCAUGACAAGAGGUUUAGCAAAGCUUAUCCAAGACACGUCAACUUCAUUUUGGAGUUUGACCAGCUUUCUUCGUAGUGACUGUAAAACUUUGGUUGCCUUGUUCAGCGUUCGGUUGGACGACAAGACACUCAAAGGACUCGGCAGUUCAGUUUUUCUGACAGCCACCACCACUGGACCCACCACUAGCCGGCCUACUAUCUUCCUCUGACGGACCCGCUCCUUCCCAGAAAGCACCGACCCGUUCUCCAUCCUGGAAACUUUGACGUGCUUUUCCCCCCUCAAAAACCUGGACCUAAAAGUUAGCACUUUAUAAAUAUGUAUAAGGCAUAUAAUGGAGAUAUUUUAUGUAUAGGAUUAAACUGUUAGUAUUAGA
Perca flavescens (yellow perch) is the source of this 449-nucleotide long non-coding RNA. RefSeq lists it as uncharacterized. The transcript has 2 exons. The record is from RefSeq and is a predicted model, not a curated record. Lineage: Eukaryota; Metazoa; Chordata; Actinopteri; Perciformes; Percidae.